Molecule: long non-coding RNA, 717 nt
Filed under: Orbicella faveolata
Lineage: Eukaryota; Metazoa; Cnidaria; Anthozoa; Scleractinia; Merulinidae
Description: uncharacterized LOC110042546, transcript variant X3
Source: RNAcentral
AAAAGUUGGCGCGUGAUUCAAAUGAGUUCAAAAAUCAUCCAGAAUGAGUUCCCAUCACCAUAAUGAUGAUUGCUGUUAAGCUUACAAUGAAGAAUUCAGUGAGAACACUUGCCCAGGUGGAUACAAAUAGGGACAAAACAAGAAGAGGAUAAACUCAUAAGUGAUGAUUUUAUUGCAAUCCAGAACGUAGGUAGGACGCUUUUUCAGUCUCGAAGAGUAGCUGAGGCCUGGAUGGACUGUUAAUAACCUGAAGAUGAAUUAAUCAUACACUAUGGAUGAUGUCUGAGAGGGACUAGCCAAUAGGUUUUAUAUUUCUACCGAAUAGUGUAUGUACCAGUGACAGGUUAGAUAUCUCUUACUUCUAAGAAAGAGUUUUUGGAAUCGGACUGUGUUGGAAAGAGUAUUUCAAAGGAGUCAUGACGCGAUAGUCAAAUUGUCUACCAGAAGGCAACUUGAACACGUCGGUUUAUAAUCACCAUUUAGGAAUCAGGAUGGUUAGGACUGGGAAAGAUUACGGCCGAUAAUAUUUCGAAUGUCUCACCGUCACGCAACGCUACGCCCUCGUGAGAAAGGGCCCUCUCUGCCGAGAGCGAAGCGUUGCGUGACAGAGAAGUGCCCAGAAAGGGGGUUUUCACUGGCUCUGUGUGAUGAAUUAAUAGGGAGUUUAAGAAAACCACGACGGCAACGGCAACGGCAACCUCACUGAACAAAAGGUUC